GGGAAUGUAGCUUAGUGGUAGAGUGCUUGCCUAGCAUGCAUGAAGCCCUAGGUAAAAUUCCUCAGUACCA
This 70-nucleotide transfer RNA is filed under the name Dipodomys ordii (Ord's kangaroo rat). It matches the Rfam family "tRNA". From Rfam's summary of the family: Transfer RNA (tRNA) molecules are approximately 80 nucleotides in length. Their secondary structure includes four short double-helical elements and three loops (D, anti-codon, and T loops). Lineage: Eukaryota; Metazoa; Chordata; Mammalia; Rodentia; Heteromyidae. The record is from Rfam by way of RNAcentral.